Molecule: long non-coding RNA, 1497 nt
Filed under: Monodelphis domestica (gray short-tailed opossum)
Lineage: Eukaryota; Metazoa; Chordata; Mammalia; Didelphimorphia; Didelphidae
Description: lncRNA (ENSMODG00000048573.1)
Source: RNAcentral
GAGGAGACCAACAAGCUGGAAGAUAUCCAGCUGGUGAAGUUGUAUCAACAUCUUUCUUCUGGGGAAGUGAGAAGGACCAUUCUGCCGUCUCAUCCUCUGAUCUCACACAGUCCUGUCCUGUCUCUCCUAUUCUCUCUUUCAUUUUUGUCCUUCUCUGCUCUCUGCUUCUAUUUCUCCAUCUGUCAUUUGUCUCUGUAUGUGCUUCUCUUUGUCUCCCUUCUAAUUUCUUUCAGGAUCGAACAUCCCUCAUUGUGGGAAAAUUCUUUGUUGUGUCUAAUUCAAAUCCCUUACUCUGUCGAUUAAAUCUCCUCUCUUUCUGGUUUUCUUUCUGGUCAAUAUGUUCUCCUCUGCAUCAGGGUCUCUUGAAACUGCUAUUAAUCAUGACUUCCUUGUGAUCUCCCUGCUUCCUCACGGGAAUCUAGGCCAGCGUUUCCACUAGGGACCAGUGUUGAAUGGCUUGACAGGGUGGAGAUGGAGGGAGAGCCCCCAGGGUCAGGGUGAAGAAGUGAAGGGUGCCAAAAAAGGAGGCAUCAGCCUCAACUUUUCCUACCUUCUUCCUGAUUCCCCCAGGACUCCGGCUCACUAACAGGGAAGGUGGAGUGUCAGAGAGAUCUUCCCAGAAACAGGCUGGAAAUACUGGAGCAGGAAAAUGCCCAGAUGGCCUUGGUGAUUCAGAGGUGGAAGCUGGAGAAGGGGCCAACACUUCAGAUAGAGCUGGAUGCCUGCAAGCAGGAGCUGGAACUAGAACGAAACUUGUGCCUGGCCCUGCAGCAUCAGCUUCGGGAGCUGCAAGGUGGUGGGGCUCAGCAGAGGGCAGAGCCCCCACAAGCAGUUCCAGGGCCAGGGCCAUGCCCCCCAGGGACCUCAAAGAGGAUGGAAGUUGAACCCCAGCGAGACACGCGCCAGUCCAGAGCAGAGCCUCCAAGGCCCCUGCAGGAGCUUCUAGGAUCUUCCUCAGGAAGUCCGCAGGUGCCCAAACUGCCUGGGCCAUUUCAGAGAGACAGCCAAGGGGGCCAGGGAGCAGGAGCUCCUGGGCCCUUGUUGGAGGCAGAAAUCUUAAGACAGCAGCUGCAGACAGAGAGAGCCUUGGGGCAAGAGCGGGAGCAGUACCUUCAGAGCCUCACCUCAGAACUUCAGGAGCUGAAGCUGAGGAAAUCAGAGGAGACCAAGCUCAUGGCGUGCAGGAGCGAGAACCUGAGGUUGGAGCGCCUCGUGUCAUCUCUGCAACAGAAGCUGGAGGAGACGGAGCGGGCCCUGAAGGAGCCCCAGACACCGAGGGCCUCUGAGCAGGGGGAGCUGGAGAUGACGCCCUCCUCCCUGCUUAAGAAACUCUCUCUGAACUCCCGCCUGGGCUCCAGUCAGUUGGCCCCAGAAGACCUGAAGAGGGGACCCCGAACUGGCUGGGAGGGGGUUCCCCAGGGCCACUGCCCCCAUUGUAAUGCCUUUCUGGAACAGCUGGGUGCCAUGCUUCAAGGUGAGUUCCCCAUCGCCUGCUAG